This 63-nucleotide transfer RNA is filed under the name Aspidiphorus orbiculatus. Its description in RNAcentral is "tRNA-Leu". Lineage: Eukaryota; Metazoa; Arthropoda; Insecta; Coleoptera; Sphindidae. The record is from RNAcentral.
UCUAUUAUGGCAGAAUAGUGCAUUGGAUUUAAACCCCAAAAAUAAAGUAACCUUUUUUUAGAA